Molecule: long non-coding RNA, 2053 nt
Organism: Ictalurus punctatus (channel catfish)
Lineage: Eukaryota; Metazoa; Chordata; Actinopteri; Siluriformes; Ictaluridae
Source: Ensembl
UCUACAGAAAGAAAUAAAAAGCCAAGAAAGAAUGUAAAAAAAUAGACAGUUCUUGCUAUGGAGCUAGGUUACUCUUUCACCCAUUAUGUACUCAAGUUUCUUAAGGCUACAUAAAUGGAAACUGAACAACAGAUGCAACAAUCUGUGGAAACUUGGAUGCACUGUAAAUCUACUGGGAUUAUAUCUGGGAAGACAAUGUUUGCAUUCAGGAUAAGGUACUUUCAACAUCACAAGACGUGCCAGACUGCAAGGGCACACUGAAGCCAGCGAUGGCCAAAUUAAACAGCGUCUGGCAAAGUAACGACUCAAGACAGGUCCGUUAUCUCUCAGUGAGUGCGGGAGGACGAGGCUCCACCUGUUUCCCUAAAUGAAUUCAUGAAUGCUGCAGGAGAAUGCUAAUGAGAGCGCCUGGCUGUCUUCCUGACACAACAAUGCUAUCCAAAGACAGCGGCCAUAUUUGUAAUUAACAGGAGCUAUAUGUGGUGUCAAACGAGAGACGACAGGGUGUUUGGCUUCUCACCGCUGAGAAAAGAGAAAGCUCCCUUGUUCCUUUGUUGCUUCGACCUCUUUUUUUUCUUUCCAUAAGGCUGAGGGAGCCUGCUGGGCCUGGCUUCUGUGGUUUCUUCUCCCCAGAUGAAAGACUCAAAGUGCACAUUAUCACAAACGUACACAUUUGCUUUGACAAACUACCCUUGCAGCUGUAUGCAGACGAGCCUGGAGCCUAUCCCUUGGAUCUCAGGGCACAAGGUGGAGGACACUGGAGUACCUGGAGGAAACCCCAAAAGAAUGGGGAGAACAUAUAAAUUCCAUGCACCAAGGCUGGAGGCGGGAAUCAAACCCCCAACCCUUGAGGUGUGAGGCAAACGUGAUUGAUAGGGUGGCAAGAGAAAGAUCCUCCAUAAUGACUUCCCUUGGGCUGCUCAUUGAAGUUCACAAAAUAACACAACAUUAGAUCUCAUCCUCUGUGCAGUGCGCUGUAACACCAGAGAGGAAUCAUGUUCAGGGUGUGCAAAUGAACAAAACCGCAACUGAGUGCCUGUACCAGCCAGCACGCUACUCAAAUACCAUGACGGCAUUGAGUGUGAUGGAACACUGGCUCCGAGUUAUGUCUGUUUGUCUGCGUUAUCUUGCAUCUUAUAAUCAAAAUGAGAACUCAUCACUACCCUCAUUUGCCUGUAAUACCAAGUGUUAGAGAAAACAUGAGGGCUUACAGAGAGCAGAGAUCUCAGGAGUGAUGUAAAUCUUCAUCAGACUUUCUUCUUUCUUUCUUUGUAAGAUAAAUGAUGUUUUUUGUUUUUAAGAUAACAUGUUUUGCCUUUUUCUGUUGAUUUUUGAAACCUCUCAGAGUAUCGGCUCAGACAUCAGGUCAAUCUUCCCAUUAUGUUGUGUUUCUGUCUGUGUGUUAGAUACAGACUAAGAAAAGUGAUGGAAACCCAUGAGAGUGCAAGGCAGAACUUAGAGAUAAUGCUGAUGGAGGAGUCAGUUUUCACUGACACAGGCCUCUUAGGUGCAUGUAAAGGGAACGGAGAAUGGGAAACGGACCAAUUAUGGGCUUGAACAACAUGUUUAAACACUUAUGCUCUACAUUACGCACUGUCAACUUGUGCAUCAUGGGCCAGAUACAGAGCCAGCCAAGCUUUUUCAGCAGACCGGACUGAGUACAUGGGAAAAAAAUACUGUUGUACAGCUGCUAAACACACUUUACCAACAAGCAUGUAUUAAUGUACAAUUUUUUUUUCAUUUCAUUUACCCUCUCUGGUCUGGUUAGUGAAACGACGACAUGGCUUGUUUAAAAAAAAAUAAAAAAUAAAUAAAUAAAAGAUGAUGAAAACUUUGAAACGUUUAAAGAUGAUUGGACAGAGAAGUAUGUGCUUAUUCUCCCCGUGUCAAAUUCCGAACAGAUGUGUUUUAUGAGUCUAUGGUGCAAGUUAAAAGUGGUAUGUGAGUGUUGGACAAAACAUAACCACUUCAAAUGAUCUUAUUAAUAGCCAUAAAAUAGUCAUUCAUGUUUAAGCAUUAAGAGUAUUAGUGGAAAUGUAGAGCUCUACAUCAU